GCCGAAGUGGUGGAAUGGCAGACACACGGGACUUAAAAUCCCGAGGAGUUUUCUCCGUACGGGUUCGACCCCCGUCUUCGGCACCA
This 86-nucleotide transfer RNA is filed under the name Candidatus Spyradocola merdavium. Its description in RNAcentral is "tRNA-Leu". It matches the Rfam family "tRNA". Rfam says of the family: Transfer RNA (tRNA) molecules are approximately 80 nucleotides in length. Their secondary structure includes four short double-helical elements and three loops (D, anti-codon, and T loops). Further hydrogen bonds mediate the characteristic L-shaped molecular structure. tRNAs have two regions of fundamental functional importance: the anti-codon, which is responsible for specific mRNA codon recognition, and the 3' end, to which the tRNAs corresponding amino acid is attached (by aminoacyl-tRNA synthetases). tRNAs cope with the degeneracy of the genetic code in two manners: having more than one tRNA (with a specific anti-codon) for a particular amino acid; and 'wobble' base-pairing, i.e. permitting non-standard base-pairing at the 3rd anti-codon position. The record is from RNAcentral. Lineage: Bacteria; Bacillati; Bacillota; Clostridia; Christensenellales; Christensenellaceae.